Sarcophilus harrisii (Tasmanian devil) is the source of this 6639-nucleotide long non-coding RNA. NCBI's taxonomy places the organism in Eukaryota, Metazoa, Chordata, Mammalia, Dasyuromorphia, Dasyuridae. The record is from Ensembl.
GUAGAUUGCUUGGGUGACAUCCCCUAGGUAUCUGUGCUUGUAUUUUUUUCCUGCUCUUUUUUAUACCUGGGAAGAUUUUCAUAUAUUAUUCUGAACUACAAAUAAUUAAAGUUCCUAAGAAACUUAAUAUUCCAUAUGGUUGUGAUAAUACUCAAAGAUAAUGACAGUUUCUGAUAAGAGUUCUGAGAUCUCUAUGGGCCUGCUUAUGCCAGAAAUCACAGGACCUUUUCAGCCAAAGUACAUGAGACAUUGAUGCUAACUGCUUGUAUCAAUGAAUGUGAAGGGACAAAUCAAGGAAAGUUUAUAUUUGAGUUAGAUUUGGAAGAUUGAUAGGGAUUCAAUAAGCAAAAGUUAAAGAAGGACCUCCCAGGCAUAGAGAACACUAAGAAUAUUGGAUAGAGUGCUGGCUUAGAGUUGGGAAGAUAUGGAAUCUUUCUUCAACCUCUAUUAUAUGUAUGUCCCUGGGCAAAUCAUCCAACCUCAUUCUGUGACUUAGUUUCCCUAUCUGUAAAAUGAAGUUAGACUCUGUGGUUUGUAAAGUGCCUUUCAGCUCUAAAUCCUUUGUGAGUCAUAGUUUCCAGCAUGGAUACAGGUUAUCAAGACCAGACAGGAGAAGGAAUGGGAAUAUGCAUUUUAUAUUGUAACUACCAAAAAAUGUGCUAAGCAUUGUAAAACUAUUAUCUCAUUUGACCCUCACAACAACCCUAUAAGCUAGGUGCUCUUACUAUCCCAUUUUACAGACGAGAAAACUGAAGCAAAUAAAAACUAAGGAACUUGUCCAGGAUCACAUAGAUAGAAAGUGUCAAAGGUUGCAUUUGAGUCAGUUCUUCCUGACUCCAGACCCAACUCUUCAGCCAUUGGGCCACCUCACUCCUUCUCCAAUAUGCCUCCAGGCCUUCAAACUGGGAAUCAUCCUUGCUGACUUCCUGGCAGUUUCCCUAACUGGCUGUGAUGCUUUCCUAACAAGAAAUGUUGGGCCAAGAGUGAAGUAUAUAGCCCAGCAACUUUAUACCUCCUGCAAAGUGUCAAAGGACGAUGAGCUUCUUAGAGAGAAAUUACUCAGCAUCACUAAAGCUUUUCCCAAGCCUCUGUCCUUUGUUAGCUUGGGAGUAAGACUGGGAGCUAUAUUGACUAAUAAUCUUUCUCCUCCUAAGAAUAACCACCAAAAGCCUUUUAGGGGAAGAUUCAGAAAUAACCUUUGUGGGAUCAUGGGGACAUUACUGAUAUAUAUAGACAGAUAUAUAGAUUUAAAGCUUCUACCUUUCAAUGUGCAAAAGUAAGCUUUCUUUGGUCUGGAACGUUAAGUUCAUCAGUGUAUGGAAUUCCCAUUAUGGCUACUCUCUGCACAGAGACUCUAUAGCAACUUAUCUGAACUUUAGAGUUUUUAUGUGUCUGUAUAUGUGUGUGUAUAAGUAUAUACAUAUAUGUAGAUACACACACAGAUAUCUAUAUCCAUAUUAUAUUUACUUAUACAUUAUACAUUCUACUUGCAGUAUAUAUUGUUUCUCCUUUCAGAAUAUAAGCUCAUUGAGUACAGGAACAAUUAAAAGAAUCCUUUUUAUCCCUAGUAUCUAGCAGAGAGAUUCUGUAUUUAGUACAUGCUUAAUAAGUAUUUAUUGAUUGAGUCAUUGAAUAGUUCAACAAUUGCUUAGGAGGCAAUAAGAGAUUGUGAUUUGCCUAAGAGCACAUGGCUAAAUAUGUCAGAGAUAAGAUUUGAAUCAUAUCUUCCUGACCAAAGAAAUAUACAUACUGAAAAAAGAGGAAUUCAGAAUUAAAAGAUACCAUGGAGGUCAUAUAGUUUUCUAGGUCUCUUCCUCUGUAUGAUAAGGACAUUGAGGCUAUAAAAUCACAAGGGUAAUAAUAAAUAAUAGGGCAAGUAUUUAAAUCCACCUCUUCAAACUUCAAAUAUAGAACUUUUUCUUUCCAGAAUAUUUCCUCUCUAGCCCAACUGGCUAAUGAGAACACUGUUGAUAUGGAGCUAUUCCAGUACCCAAACCCAGAAUCUCUACUGGGAAUCAAUCCUUACUAGUUAUUGACUAAAAUAGUCAGAAAUCUUCUGGAGUCUAUGAUGAUUUGAUGGAGCUCUGCUGGCCAAUGGCACCCCAGCAUCUGAGAGCCCUAUUCAGUGGAAUGGAAAUGCUCAGAAUUGCCCAUCACAUUCAGGACUGAAUUCAUCCAAAAAGCCUCAAGAGUAGUUGUUUCAGUCCUCACAGUUUUCUUCUUCUGAAAAUUGCUUAUAAUUAAAGGGAAAAUGGAAACUUUACCUUGUUUAUUUGCUCAGUUGGGGCACCAGUUCAUUAGCCACAUUAAUAAAAUACCUGCCAGAUCAAAAUAUUUUAAUGGCCGGCUGCAGUCAUUCCAUUGUUUAUUGAUGGUUGUUUACCGGAUAUCUGGAGACAUAAGGAAAACCUUUUUAGCUUGGGCUACUCAUUAGCAAAGUACCAAGGAGGCCAAAUCCCAUAAAAAUAUUGAGCUUUUUUUUUUGGGGGGGGGGAGGGCAGGUUAUCCUCCCAGCAGCAGCAAAGGAAAGGAAUUCUCAUUACUUAUUAAGAUAUGGUAUGUUUUUUUACAUAGUGAGUUUCCUUUUAGUCGUUUAACUCUUUCCCCCCCCCCCAUUUCAUUCUAUUUUAGAGCCUGAAGUAAAAGAGGAUGUGGUCUCCUUAAGCUGGGGGCAAAUGGAAGACUCCUUUCAAAGUAUAUCAGGGCCCACCUGGUGAAGAGUAAUGCUGGGAACCAGGUGUGAUUCCCAGAAAGAGGCAACUCAGGGGACGCAUGGAUAUUCCUGGAAGGAAAAAAAUCAGCAUGGUUCUGAAGUUGCAGCAUAGACCACCUGCUCAAGUUUUUCCAAAGUCUCUUGGGAUUCAUAGAAUGUUAAAGCUGUCAGGAUCCUUAGAGUGAAAGGUCCAAACAGCAAACAGGGGGUGCAUGGCGUGAGGACAGCUGUGAUGUUCAGACCUGCUCACAUGCAUGGGGCUUCAUUUUAUUUUACAGGUGAGAAAUGGAGAUAAGCAGAAUUAAGUGACUCACCCCAAAUUAUAUAGCUAAUAAAUAUCUGAGACCAGAUUUGAACUCUGUUCCUCCUGACUUCAGUAUCACUGUUCUAUGCACUGCAUCACCUAGUUGCUUGGAAAGGACCUUACAAGUCUCCAUGUUAUAGAAGAGGAAAACCUGGCUUAGAUGACUCUUGAGGCAUCAAGGGCUGGCAAAGGAAAAUAAGAUAUGAGAAUGGCAUCCUAUACAAAGAAGAAGACAUUUCAUCUGGAGGAAGUACUGGGAUCACUUUUGUUUUAAGAAGGACAUUGACAAAUAGGAAACAUCCAAAGAUGGAUAGCCAAGAUAAUAAAGGAUCUUAAGUGAUGAUAAAGGACUUUAAUUUCAUGCCUUAAGAAGAUGCACAGAGGAUAGUUAGCCUCUAGAAGAUAUAAGAGAAAAUAGUAGUUAUCCUCAAACAUUUGAAAGACUACUAUUUAAAAAAGGGGGACAGUCUUCAACCAGACCCCAGAGGGCAGAAUCAGAAGUCCUAAGUAGAAGGUACAGAAUACACUUACAAGGAUCAGGAAAAACAUCUUUACAAUUGGAGUUGCCUCAAAGUGGAAAGAUGGUAGUGGGUUUCCUUUUAUUUGAGGUCAUUAAACAAAGGCUAGAUGGCCACAUAUUCACUAAUUUUUUAGAGGACAUUUUUUUUUUCAGAGGUGUAUCACCUAGAUAGCCUAAUGCACAUCUAUCUGAAGACAGGUUCAAAUUCUACAUCAGACACUUAUUAGCUGUGUGAUCUAGAAUAAGCCUCUUCAUCUUCCUAUAUUUGAGGGGUUUUUGGUCUUUGUUUCAUUUCUAAAAUGAAGUUAUUAUACUAGCUGGCCUUGAAGGUUGUUCAGUCUCUCAAUGUAUGAUUCUUUUCUUAUGUAGUAGGGCUGACAGUAGAUCUUGAAUACCUUGAAUCUUAGUUCUCUGUGCUGUAUGCCACCUCUCUAAAAUCCACACAGCUUUCUAAGAAACUCUACAUUGUCUUUUGAGGAGAGGAGGGGCAUAGAAUCCUUUGCUCCAUAGUUGCGGAAUUAGAGCUGAAGUGGACUGUCUCUGACUGAAGAUUGCCUUGGUGAACCUGUUAAGCAUUUACCUGUAUGCAAGAGGAAAGAAAUGGGCCAUAUGGUGCUGUUAAUGACAUCUCUUUCUAUAACUCCAGGAAACCCGAAGCCCUGCUAUCCCCCCUUUCUCAUAUUACUCAAGUAUGUAAUACUCUGAUUCAUAAUUAAUGUGUUUGAUCUAUUGAAGUGUCUAUUUACAUUCUCGUUUUUUGUCCUUCACAGAAACUAAAACGUCUUGUGAAAGCUACAAGGUUGUUCACUGCUGCUCUCUCUGUCUCUAUUUCUAUCUCUGUCUUUCUGUCUGUCUGUCUCCCUUUCUGUCUCUCUCUGUGUCUCUUUUUCUCUCUGUCUCUGUCCCUUUCUCUGUUUUUAUCUGUCUCUCUUUCCCUCUGUCUUUCUGUCUCUCUGCCUUCUCUUUUCCUUCUCUCUUCCUCUCCCUUUCCCUGUCUCUCCCCUCUCUUUCCUUCCUUCCUCCCCCUACCCUUUCACAUGAGUCCAGCACCACAGGGAGAGGCAGCUUGGUAUAGCAGAUAAAGAUAAAAUACCUAGAUUCAAAUCCUGACUCUGGCACAUAUUAGGUAUAAGACAAUAGGCAAGUGAUUUAACCUCUUACUGGCUGAGGAAAGUCUAAGAUGAUAAAUUAUAGACCAGUUCUUGAUCUAUUUUGACAGAGAGAUUUCCCCCUGGGGAUCCCUUCUCAUUUAUCAGAGAACUUCAACUAUGAAAAAAGAAGAAAUCUAUGCAUACAAGAAAACUAUUCUGACUUACUAUUUCCCAUUUAGGACUGACUUUGAGUGUUGAUUAACUUGCAUUUGAACAUUUGUCAAUUUAAACAUUUUGUCUUGCCUAGGUUUUUAAAAAAUGGUUUCUAGAGAGAAGAGCCUUUAACAUAAAACCAUGCCUCAUACUGUCAUAGUAAAUUUAGAGCUGGGAAAGUACAUUUGAGGUCAUUUAGAUAACAAAAGUAAAAUGCAAGGAGGUUUUUGUGACUUGUGUAAGGUUGUUGUUGUUAUUGUUGAGUUAUUCAGUUGUGUCUGAGACUUUGUGACCCCAUGAACCACAGCACACUAAUACUGUCCUUGAGACUUUCUUGCCUAAGGUACUUGAAGUGGUUUGCCAUUUUCUUCUCCAGUGGAUUAAGGCAAACAGAAGUCAAACGAUUUGUCCAGAAUCACAAAGCUAUGAAGUGUCUGACUCUAAAUUUGAACUAGUUCUUCCUGAUUCUAGGCUCAGCUCUUUAUCUACUGAGUCACCUAGCUGUACAGUGGCUGAAUUUGAACCUAAAUCCUCUACUUGCUGAUCUUAUGCAAAAUAUAACUAUAUUUACACAGACACACACACACACACACACACUCACACUGAACAAGGUUUGUAGCUGGAAAGGACCUAAGAUUGUCUAUUCUAAGUUUAUUUUAUAGAUCAUAAAAUAACAAAAAGAUCUUAGAAACCAAUGACAUUUGACAGAAGAGGAAAAUAAGGUAACAGAAAGGUAAAUAAAUGGUAUUUGAACACUGAACCUAUGAUUCCAAAUCCAGAAUUCUUAAUGACACCAUGUUGCUUGUCAUUUAACCUUCCAAUUAUUCAUAAGUAUCUUUUUUAUUACAUUCUAGAUACUAUGGGAACAUGCAGCAGGAUUUUUUUUUUUUUAGGCACAUGUUUUCUGCCCUCAAGGAAUAUACAAUCUAAUUAGAAAGACAAAACAUACAUGUAAAAAGGUAAUUCUACAAAUGGGAGUUCUUAAAUGGAAGUCUGUGAGCUUGUUUUAUAAAUAUUUUGAUGUUUCCUUUGUAAUUCUCUAUUUAUGGAUUUUAAAAUGACUCUGAGAAAGGAUCCAGAGAUUUCACCAGACUACCAAGGGGACCCACAAUGGCAAAAAGGGUGUAUCUCUUAUAAACUACAUAUUGUUGGUUGCUGAUUUCUAGUUCAUUUUGUUAUCUGCUUUAAUGAGCAAAGGUGAAUUGGAGAAGUUUGGAAGCUUGUAAUCUUCAAAAAGGUUGGAAGAAGAAAUCAGAAACCAGGGACCAGUGUCUCUAUAGUGUCAAUAUAGCAAUUGAAACCAGUGAGGCAACACUGAGCUGCUUAAAAUGGUGUAGCAGUGGUUCUGUGGCGGGCAAGAUAUAGGCUGCAAUUAGUACUUACUACCUGAAUAAGCUUGAGUAUAUCAUUUCCUCCCUAGGCUCCACCUCUGUAAAAAAGAAGAGGAAUUAAUUUGGAGCCAAUUUGUAAUAAGCAAGAGCAGUUUGACCCAGAUUAAAAGAUACAAUUAGUCUGUCUGAAUGGUAGACCUAAAAAAGCACUCCUUACAACAAGUUAUUGUUUUAUGACAAAGGAAGAUAUCUUGGCAGAACAAUAAGGCCACUGCCACUGAUAAGAGCCUUGUAAUUUACUCAAAACACUGUAAGGGAUUCAGUGGAGAAAUAUAAGAAGCCCCCAGAAUUGGGGACAUAAAAACAUGUCUUCAUAGGAAUGAAGAUGAACUUCAAGAAAACUAAUCUGGCUGGAUUGUGAGAUACUAGAUAAGAAAAGAUCAGUUUGAAAGAUGUUAUAAUCAUCC